Molecule: ribosomal RNA, 451 nt
Filed under: uncultured bacterium
Lineage: Bacteria
Description: bacterial SSU rRNA
Rfam family: Bacterial small subunit ribosomal RNA
Source: RNAcentral
UACGGAAGGCAGCAGUGAGGAAUAUUGGUCAAUGGGUGCAAGCCUGAACCAGCCAUCCCGCGUGAAGGACGACUGCCCUAUGGGUUGUAAACUUCUUUUGUAUAGGGAUAAACCUACCCUCGUGAGGGUAGCUGAAGGUACUAUACGAAUAAGCACCGGCUAACUCCGUGCCAGCAGCCGCGGUAAUACGGAGGGUGCAAGCGUUAUCCGGAUUUAUUGGGUUUAAAGGGUCCGUAGGCGGACUUAUAAGUCAGUGGUGAAAGCCUGUCGCUUAACGAUAGAACUGCCAUUGAUACUGUAAGUCUUGAGUAUAUUUUGAGGUAGCUGGAAUAAGUAGUGUAGCGGUGAAAUGCAUAGAUAUUACUUAGAACACCAAUUGCGAAAGGCAGGUUACCAAGAUAUAACUGACGCUGAGGGCGAAAGCGUGGGGAGCGAACAGGGAUUAGAUACC